This 173-nucleotide ribosomal RNA is filed under the name Chrysanthemum x morifolium (florist's daisy). RNAcentral describes it as "5.8S ribosomal RNA". It matches the Rfam family "5.8S ribosomal RNA". Rfam says of the family: 5.8S ribosomal RNA (5.8S rRNA) is a component of the large subunit of the eukaryotic ribosome. It is transcribed by RNA polymerase I as part of the 45S precursor that also contains 18S and 28S rRNA. Functionally, it is thought that 5.8S rRNA may be involved in ribosome translocation. The record is from RNAcentral. Lineage: Eukaryota; Viridiplantae; Streptophyta; Magnoliopsida; Asterales; Asteraceae.
UUAUAAUCACAAACGACUCUCGGCAACGGAUAUCUCGGCUCACGCAUCGAUGAAGAACGUAGCAAAAUGCGAUACUUGGUGUGAAUUGCAGAAUCCCGUGAACCAUCGAGUUUUUGAACGCAAGUUGCGCCCGAAGCCUUUUGGCCGAGGGCACGUCUGCCUGGGCGUCACGC